CAGCGAGAGAACGUUGCCGCAGGCAACGGCCCGAAGGGCGAGGCGCUUUAGCGCCGAGUAAUCCUUCCCCCGCUACUG
Molecule: small RNA, 78 nt
Filed under: Klebsiella aerogenes
Lineage: Bacteria; Pseudomonadati; Pseudomonadota; Gammaproteobacteria; Enterobacterales; Enterobacteriaceae
Description: partial RtT sRNA
Rfam family: RtT RNA
About the family: This family represents a bacterial cis-regulatory element known as RtT RNA. The exact function of RtT is unknown although it is thought that it may be involved in changing the cellular response in relation to amino acid starvation.
Source: RNAcentral